Molecule: ribosomal RNA, 468 nt
Filed under: uncultured bacterium
Lineage: Bacteria
Description: partial 16S ribosomal RNA
Rfam family: Bacterial small subunit ribosomal RNA
Source: RNAcentral
GACGAACGCUGGCGGCGUGCUUAACACAUGCAAGUCGAACGGAAAGGCCCUGCUUUUGUGGGGUGCUCGAGGGGCGAACGGGUGAGUAACACGUGAGUAACCUGCCCUUGACUUUGGGAUAACUUCAGGAAACUGGGGCUAAUACCGGAUAGGAGCUCCUGCUGCAUGGUGGGGGUUGGAAAGUUUCGGCGGUUGGGGAUGGACUCGCGGCUUAUCAGCUUGUUGGUGGGGGAGGGGCUUACCAAGGCUUUGGCGGGUAGCCGGCCGGGGAGGGUGGCCGGGGACCUGGGGCCUACGAUACGGCCCAGUCUCCUAUGUGAGGCAGCAGUGGCGAACCUUGCACAACGGGCCCGAGCCUGUUGCAGCAACCCCGCGUGCGUGAUGACCGCCUUCGGGUUGUGAACCGCUUUCGCCUGUGACCAAGCGGUAGUGACGGUAAUGGGUAAAGAAGCACCGGCUAACUACGUG